Molecule: ribosomal RNA, 379 nt
Filed under: uncultured eukaryote
Lineage: Eukaryota
Description: partial 18S ribosomal RNA
Rfam family: Eukaryotic small subunit ribosomal RNA
Source: RNAcentral
CAAUAGCGUAUAUUUAAGUUGUUGCAGUUAAAAAGCUCGUAGUUGGAUUUCGGAUGGGACUUGCCGGUCCGUCGUUUCGAUGUGCACUGGCCAGUCCUAUCUUGUUGUCGGGGACUAGCUCCUGGGCUUCACUGUCCGGGACUAGGAGCUGACGAGGUUACUUUGAGUAAAUUAGAGUGUUCAAAGCAAGCUUACGCUCUGAAUAUAAUAGCAUGGGAUAACACGACAGGACUCUGGCCUAUCGUGUUGGUCUAUAGGACCAGAGUAAUGAUUAAGAGGGACAGUCGGGGGCAUUCGUAUUCCGUUGUCAGAGGUGAAAUUCUUGGAUUUACGGAAGACGAACAUCUGCGAAAGCAUUUGCCAAGGAUGUUUUCAUUGA